UGAGUUGAGGGUUUCCAAAGAUCUAAAAUCAGCAGCUGCUAACUCGACAUGUGACUCAGAGUAAACCACUUUCCUGGUAGGUCUCACUUUGCCCAAAAAUGUAAUAAGAGGAUCUCUUGGGACUCUUGGCUUGAAUACUGUUGGGUUGUGAGUAAGCUGGACUCAUUUCAGGACUCUGAGCAGAGUUCUCAGGUCUGUAAGCCAAGCCACUUCUGUUUCUCUUUGGGUUGCUAUAAAGUACAGACGAUUCUACCAACCUUGACACAAAUGCCCAGCUGCCCCCAGUUCAGUGCCACAGAGAGAAGCCUUGCAGAACAGGUUGAGUUUGUGGAUGGGCAUGCGGUAGACGGUAUCAUCUCUUCUCUAUCAAUGACUUGGGGGAUACUUCUGGCAACAAAACAGACAGUUCUCGGCCUCUGUGUUUUCAUUUGUCCAACUGAAGAUUAGACAAGAGGCAGCAUGGGGUGGUGGAUAAAUCGUGGACCAGGGUUGAAGCGAAGAUCUGCUCAUCUGGGACACUCACCAGGUAAGUGAGAUUGAGAAGGGGACUCCUCUUGGAUCUUAGUUUCUUCACUGACUAGCAGGCAUUGCAAGACCAGUUUUCCAAGGCUGCUGAGAGUCUUUCAGUUGACUCUCAGCAAACAUGCUGUGAACUAGGUAAGUGGCAUCAUCCUUAUUUAUAGACUAGGCAACCAAGGCUUAGCAGGUUAAGUAAUAGUCCCAAUGUCACUCAGUUAGAAAGUGAUGGUGUUGGGAUACGCACUCAGUCUUUCUAGCCUUGAAGCACAUGUGUUUUCUAGUAUACCUCACUGGUCCCCAAAACUCAAUCCAAUAUUGAGCUGAGUAAAUUUUCUCGUCUGUCAGCUGUAUGGAGUAAUUCCCCCUGAGCUUACUUACAGUCAACCUUCAGUGUGAACCAGAGACUGCUGCCUCCCCAGCAGCUCUCAUUGGCAGCUCUCCGGUGAUGCACAUAUGCAGAC
Molecule: long non-coding RNA, 980 nt
Filed under: Pan troglodytes (chimpanzee)
Lineage: Eukaryota; Metazoa; Chordata; Mammalia; Primates; Hominidae
Description: lncRNA (ENSPTRG00000054226.1)
Source: RNAcentral